This 2269-nucleotide long non-coding RNA is filed under the name Sus scrofa (pig). Its description in RNAcentral is "lncRNA (ENSSSCG00070009329.1)". Lineage: Eukaryota; Metazoa; Chordata; Mammalia; Artiodactyla; Suidae. The record is from RNAcentral.
AUGGGUUUCCAGAAAUUGCAUUUUGUGGGCAUACUCUUAGCAUUAUAUGUUUUUAACUUAUUUUCUUUUUGCUUUGAUGAGUUCGAACAUCAAGUGACCCUUGAAGCGCUACAACACUUAAAUGCACUCUUUCAGGAGUAUGAGAAAAGAGGAAGACAGCUGUUGGAUAUGGAGACUUUCAAAUGCAUAAUGAAGCAGAGCAUGAGGUUACAGAAUAAAAGUACUGAACAAAUAGAACAACUUUUCAUGAAAAUAGACUAUGAAGCAGUGGGCAGAAUUCAUUGGGAUGGCUUCUGCACAUAUCUGCAGUUAGCAUAUUCAGAGCAAGCUGAUGCUUUGGCUCGACAGAAAGAGGUUUCCUUCCAGCUGCCUGCUGUGCUGCAGGGACUGUCGUACGGGGGACCCGUGCUGCGCAUUCUCUCUGUGCCUGAUGACACCUUAAUCAUGAUCAGAGAAGAUGGAGCCAUUUAUUUCUGGUCCCUGCAGCUGAAGUUGAAAAGAAGAAAGCGAGUUUUUGACAAGCCCAUCAUUCGGAAGCGCCGGUGGGUGACGGAUGCCACCAGCAUGCCACAGUACAACAAACUGAUCCUAGGAACUGGAAACCGCGAAAUCCAGCUGUAUGAGUUCUCUAACUUGGAGCCUUACUGUCAGAUUGGUGGCCUGGAAGCUGUCCCUCUGAAACUGGACUACUGGUACGAGGAUCCUGACAAGUGCCUGAUUCUCUAUGGUGAUGACCAGGGAUGUGUGAACAUUCUGUUUUUGGCUUCUGUCGGUGAACUAUUAAGGGGACGUCACACCCCAGGUCCCUCUCAUGGGGGAGGUCACACUCCAGAUCCCUUUCAGAGGAAGUCACAUACCACACCUCCCAUCCUCAGGGAAGAAGUCACUCCAGGUCAAGUGUGCUGUUACUCUUGGUGGCUGAGGGUCCCCAGGAGGCAGCCGUCUCAGUCCUAUCACAGUGACACUCUGGAGCCAGAAGCAUGGAGAACUUGGAAGAAGCUGCCCACAGUUGAGAACAUGCCAAACAUUAGCAUUAAUAAUGCUGUGAAUUCUCCAAAUGUGAAUUACAUCCGCUGGAAAGUGCACGGAGACUGGGUUACUCAGCUGAACUACUACGAUUCUAUCAACGCCGUUAUCUCAAGCUCCAAUCAUGAGCCCACUGCUCUAGUCAUAGGAAUCUUACAGCAGCCCUGUCCACCUCUGAUUCGCAGCCUUCAAACCACAUUGUCUUUCAAGGAAAGCUUCCUUGGUAAAUUUCUGAUUCACUGACAUUGAAAUCACUGAAGUGUUGGAAAGAGAUGUGCUCUGGGUAAGAAGUCGCUUGGGAAUUUUCAUUAGACUUUCUUGGAACUAAGAAGUGGUCGUUUUCUAGAACCGUGAUGGAUAUGAAUCUUAAGAAACUGAAAGCCAGCCUCCAGAAGCAGCUCAAAACUCAGUGUUUGUUAUGACAGAACAAAAAUCAGCGAGCCCAGAAGAAGGAUCUCCAGGCUCUAGCCCUGGCUCUGCUGCUCAUAGAGCUGUGACCUCAGGCCUCAGCCCCCUCUCCAGUUCAGUGAGGAAGUUGGACAUGAGCCCAAAGUCACAGAUCUUCCUUUUGCUCUAAGCCCCUGUCCCUCCCUUCCUUCACCUCACAUCAUGGGAAGCAGAGGCCGCUACAGCUCUGAACCCCUGUUAGUGUGUCUAGAAACCUAGAUAGCUCAACUAUAGAAUUCCUCCACCCCGGCCCCUCGCAACAUCGUUGAAGUUUCUGUUUCUCUCCGGAAGGAGAAUGGGGAGGAGCCCUUAGAGCAGAACUCCUGGAAAGACUUGCCCUUUCUUACGCCUGUCCUCCAAGUUGGUCUAAGACCCACUCCAACCCAGCUGUGUCCCUCCACGCCAUUAAAGUCACUCUUGUAAGGGCCACCAGUGCCCCUCCUGCUGCUGAAAUCAGUGACCGGUCCUCGUCCCACUUGCCCUCUCAACACGAGCCGCAGGUCCCUUGGCUUCCUCCCUGCAGUCCUCUCACUUGGCGUGAGGACUCCACCUCUCAUGGUUUCCCGUCCUUCCUGCCUGUAGCCCCUUCUCGUUCUCCCUUACUGGUCGUCUGCAUCGCCAUGACUCGUGUCUAUGACGCAGUGACGGAGCCCCCAGCAUUCAGUCUUUGGUCCUCUUCUCUUCCACAUCUGCACCCCCGCGAUGAGCGCUCCGCUACCACUGCUGUCAAUUCCCAAAAGUACAUCUCUGGCCCAGCCCCCUCCCUGAACUUCUCUCUGGUAUUUCCAGCUGCCUU